RNAcentral lists this ribosomal RNA (312 nucleotides) under uncultured bacterium. Its description in RNAcentral is "partial 16S ribosomal RNA". It matches the Rfam family "Bacterial small subunit ribosomal RNA", at positions 355 to 659 of the family's 1533-position model. The record is from RNAcentral.
UGGGGAAUAUUGCACAAUGGGCGCAAGCCUGAUGCAGCCAUGCCGCGUGUGUGAAGAAGGCCUUCGGGUUGUAAAGCACUUUCAGCGAGGAGGAAGGGUUCAGUGUUAAUAGCACUGUUCAUUGACGUUACUCGCAGAAGAAGCACCGGCUAACUCCGUGCCAGCAGCCGCGGUAAUACGGAGGGUGCAAGCGUUAAUCGGAAUUACUGGGCGUAAAGCGCACGCAGGCGGUUUGUUAAGUCAGAUGUGAAAUCCCCGCGCUUAACGUGGGAACUGCAUUUGAAACUGGCAAGCUAGAGUCUUGUAGAGGGG